GAUGAACGCUGGCGGUAUGCUUAACACAUGCAAGUCGUACGAAUGCAUUCUGGCUUGCCAGAAUGUAAUGAGUGGCGGACGGGUGAGUAACACGUAAGAACCUACCUUUUGGUGAGGGACAACCAUUGGAAACGAUGGCUAAUACCUCGUAUUGCUGAGAAGUGAAAGAUGAAAAUCGCCAAGAGAUGGGCUUGCGGCUGAUUAGCUAGUUGGUUGGGUAAUGGCUUACCAAGGCGAUGAUCAGUAGCUGGUCUGAGAGGACGAUCAGCCACACUGGAACUGAGACACGGUCCAGACUCCUACGGGAGGCAGCAGUGGGGAAUAUUGCACAAUGGAGGAAACUCUGAUGCAGCAACGCCGCGUGGAGGAUGACGCAUUUCGGUGUGUAAACUCCUUUUAUAAGGGAAGAUAAUGACGGUACCUUAUGAAUAAGCACCGGCUAACUCCGUG
This 450-nucleotide ribosomal RNA is filed under the name uncultured bacterium. RNAcentral's name for it is "bacterial SSU rRNA". It matches the Rfam family "Bacterial small subunit ribosomal RNA", at positions 28 to 507 of the family's 1533-position model. The record is from RNAcentral.